UUUUCAAAAACAUGUUCUUUUGUUUUAAAUAAAAGAUCUGGCCUGCUCUAUGAUUUAUUAAAUGGCUGCAGUAUUUUGACUGUACAAAGGUAGCAUAAUCAUUUGUCUCUUAAUUGGAGACUGGUAUGAAUGGUUGGAUGAAAAAUAUACUUUCUUUAUUUUAUAAAAAUAAAUUGAUUUUUUAGUUAAAAAGCUAAAAUGAUUUUAUAGGACGAGAAGACCCUAUAGAACUUUACUUAUUAUAGUGAAUAUGAUUUUUAUAUUUUUAAAAUUUUAUAUAUUAAAAUAAGUUGUGUUGGGGUGACAGAAAAAAUUAUAUAACUUUUUUAUAUUUUAACAUAUAUAUAUGUUUUUUUGAUCCUUUAUUAUGGAUAAUAAGAUUAAGUUACCUUAGGGAUAACAGCGUUAUUUUUUCGGAGAGUUCAUAUUGAUGAAAAAGUUUGCGACCUCGAUGUUGGAUUAAAAUAAGUUACAGGGGCAUAAUAUUGUAUGACUAGGUCUGUUCGACCUUUAAAUUUUUACAUGAUCUAGUUUCCAACCGGGA
RNAcentral lists this ribosomal RNA (544 nucleotides) under Orientomiris yaeyamanus. RNAcentral's name for it is "partial small subunit ribosomal RNA". It matches the Rfam family "Bacterial large subunit ribosomal RNA", at positions 1804 to 2624 of the family's 2925-position model. Lineage: Eukaryota; Metazoa; Arthropoda; Insecta; Hemiptera; Miridae. The record is from RNAcentral.